GUUACAGCAUAUUGCCUUGACAAAGACCCACGGCUGAAUGGUCGAAAUGCAUUGGUUGCCGCAAGAGGGGGACCCCGCUACUUCUGUCAGGAAUAAGGGAACGUGGAGCCCGUUGCCUGAAGGGGAGAUCCCAGAUUGCCUACCCGGGGGACACCUGGUGACUAUUAAAAAUGCUAUUGAGAAUUGCUUUUGCACCAGUUCUCAAUACCUUCUGGACCAUCACCCAGACAGCCACCACCACUGCUGCCACCUUCUGUGAGGACAAGCAACACACAUAAUAUCUGCACAUGUCUCCAUGUGCACAGACAAUUGCUCGGCUGCUAAAAUGCACUCUUACUUUUUGGAUCACAAUCAGUCCAAUGGGAGUAUGGAUAACUAUAGUGGACUUUGUCUCAGAAUAUUACUGUAAACACUUUGUCUCAGAAUAUUACUGUAA
Molecule: long non-coding RNA, 436 nt
Organism: Pseudophryne corroboree (corroboree frog)
Lineage: Eukaryota; Metazoa; Chordata; Amphibia; Anura; Myobatrachidae
Exons: 3
Source: RefSeq, a predicted model, not a curated record